This 484-nucleotide unclassified non-coding RNA is filed under the name leaf metagenome. Its description in RNAcentral is "partial contains internal transcribed spacer 1, 5.8S ribosomal RNA, and internal transcribed spacer 2". The stretch from base 157 to 310 matches the Rfam family "5.8S ribosomal RNA". The record is from RNAcentral.
CAACCCUUUGUGAACAUACCUAUAACUGUUGCUUCGGCGGGUAGGGUCUCCGUGACCCUCCCGGCCUCCCGCCCCCGGGCGGGUCGGCGCCCGCCGGAGGAUAACCAAACUCUGAUUUAACGACGUUUCUUCUGAGUGGUACAAGCAAAUAAUCAAAACUUUUAACAACGGAUCUCUUGGUUCUGGCAUCGAUGAAGAACGCAGCGAAAUGCGAUAAGUAAUGUGAAUUGCAGAAUUCAGUGAAUCAUCGAAUCUUUGAACGCACAUUGCGCCCGCCAGCAUUCUGGCGGGCAUGCCUGUUCGAGCGUCAUUUCAACCCUCAAGCUCUGCUUGGUGUUGGGGCCCUACAGCUGAUGUAGGCCCUCAAAGGUAGUGGCGGACCCUCCCGGAGCCUCCUUUGCGUAGUAACUUUACGUCUCGCACUGGGAUCCGGAGGGACUCUUGCCGUAAAACCCCCAAUUUUCCAAAGGUUGACCUCGGAUCA